Molecule: small RNA, 498 nt
Filed under: Pongo abelii (Sumatran orangutan)
Lineage: Eukaryota; Metazoa; Chordata; Mammalia; Primates; Hominidae
Description: retained intron
Source: RNAcentral
CUUAAUUUUACAGCAGGAGGGAUGGCAGUUAGACCUCAAGAGGAACUCCCUGGGCUGGAAGGAUCUUCAGAGGGUCCCCAGCCCCACCCCAGCCCCAAAGGAGGCUGUUCGAGAGGGACGUCCUCCGGAGCCAACCCCAGCCAAACGGAAGAGGCGCUCUAGCAGUUCCAGUUCCAGCUCCUCCUCUUCAUCUUCCUCUUCCUCUUCCUCCUCCUCUUCUUCCUCCUCCUCUUCCUCUUCUUCCUCUUCCUCCUCAUCUUCCUCCUCCUCCUCGUCUUCCUCCCCUUCCCCUGCUAAGCCUGGCCCUCAGGCCUUGCCCAAACCUGCAAGCCCCAAGAAGCCACCCCCUGGCGAGCGGAGGUGAGUGCUGCCUUGCCUGAGAUGGAAGGAGGGUGGGGGAGUGACUUGUCCAGAGAAGGGGCCCUGGGGUGUGAGCUCCCCGCUGGGUGUCUCACGUGGCCUUGGGCAUCUGGUUGUGGGGGAGGAGGCACUUGCUCU